AUGGGUGUGGGUUCCAGGAAGAAGCACUGCAGCGGCAGCGUUGUGUCCUGUGUAGUCCUAUGCCUAGCCCUGCUCGUCGUCGGGGCGACCGCCAAGAAGAGCAUACGCCAGUGCAUCGCUGAGUGCACUGGCAGUUCGAAUCCAAAAGGCUGCAUGACAUAUUGCAUCAGGGAAGCCGUGGUGCUGGUGGCCCAUGGAGAGGCAAGAGGAGUAGGAGGAGAAGGAAUUGGGCUGCUGGCGACGCCGGUGGAGCGUGCCAGCCAGGAGGAAGAAGAAGAGAAGAGGAAGCAAGAGGCCGCCGGCGCCGACCAACUGACUUUCGACCCGUGCGAUAUGUGCCAUCCAGAUGACUACUGGUACGAAAUGUGCAUGAGGGUAUGUCAUCGUUAG
This 390-nucleotide ribosomal RNA is filed under the name Triticum aestivum (bread wheat). RNAcentral's name for it is "partial small subunit ribosomal RNA". Lineage: Eukaryota; Viridiplantae; Streptophyta; Magnoliopsida; Poales; Poaceae. The record is from RNAcentral.